CAGUAGCCACGGGAACACGAAGGGUGCAAGCGUUACUCGGAAUUACUGGGCGUAAAGCGUGCGUAGGUGGUGGUUUAAGUCCGUUGUGAAAGCCCUGGGCUCAACCUGGGAAUUGCAGUGGAUACUGGGUCACUAGAGUGUGGUAGAGGAUAGUGGAAUUUCCGGUGUAGCAGUGAAAUGCGUAGAGAUCGGAAGGAACAUCUGUGGCGAAGGCGACUAUCUGGGCCAACACUGACACUGAGGCACGAAAGCGUGGGGAGCAAACAGGAUUAGAUACCCCAGUAGUCCCUGUCUCUUAUAA
RNAcentral lists this ribosomal RNA (301 nucleotides) under uncultured bacterium. RNAcentral's name for it is "partial 16S ribosomal RNA". It matches the Rfam family "Bacterial small subunit ribosomal RNA", at positions 509 to 809 of the family's 1533-position model. The record is from RNAcentral.